GUAAUUAGCAAUUACCGUUUAAGUAUAUCCAAAACUGAAGAACACCCGAAGAAUUGCCGACCGGAGAAGUUGGCGACUGGAAGGGGUGGGUAUGCUCAAAUUAAAUGGAGCUGGAUGUCGGCGGUUGGUCCGAAUCUGAGCAACGGAAUCGAUAGGGCGGCAUGCAUGAUCGCGAUACACCGAAUGUGAUUACUCUAGAUCGAGCUCCACAUUCUUCCCCCCUGUAAACCGAAUCUUGGGCACAGCACGUGCGAGCGACGCAGCGAAGCCUCCACCUCACAACUCUGCAUGCGAUCCGAUGCAAGUGCUUUAUAUCCGUACCACACCCCAAACCAAGUUUCCUUCCCCCCUCUCGUCUUCUCCAACGCUGACACUAUCAAGAGAACAUCGCCACUUUAUUCUACAGUUGUCAAACGUAAUACAAAAGUCAGCAUGACCUAAUCAAGAACACAUCAUCAGUAGAAAUUCACUGGUAGGGUAAAAGAAUAAAGUCAUAGUGCAUUAUCAAACAAUCAUUUCCUCAGCUUACACAAGAGAUGUAAAUCCAAAGAAAAAUCUAAACAAGGGGGCGGUCGGCCGGCUUCUAGUGACCUUCUACCACUGCUGACUUUAAGCAUUGCUUUCUCCAUUCCUUCCUCCCCCUUUCCUCGCUGCCUAGUGGACAAGUGGUUGCCCAACAAGAAUUAAUAAAACCCAAACGAUAUUUUUUUCACUAAUUAACCUGUCAUCACUACGGGGUCCCACCACACCGGGUUGAGCCCAACCCCCAAAAAUGGAGAAGAAAAAAAAUGAGAGAGAGAGAGAGAGNNNNN
Molecule: long non-coding RNA, 812 nt
Filed under: Hordeum vulgare
Lineage: Eukaryota; Viridiplantae; Streptophyta; Magnoliopsida; Poales; Poaceae
Description: long non-coding RNA (HVUL_LNC004791)
Source: RNAcentral